UCUUAGUAUGACUCAACAUUAGGCCACCCUUCCUUGAUUGCGUCUGAUCUUGGAAGUUAAGUAAGUCUGGGCAUGGUUAAUACUUGGAUGGGAGAUCUAGGGAGACCAGAUAAUGCAGGCUGAGAA
RNAcentral lists this ribosomal RNA (126 nucleotides) under Salvator merianae (Argentine black and white tegu). The record is from RNAcentral. Lineage: Eukaryota; Metazoa; Chordata; Lepidosauria; Squamata; Teiidae.